Molecule: long non-coding RNA, 544 nt
Organism: Cyprinus carpio (common carp)
Lineage: Eukaryota; Metazoa; Chordata; Actinopteri; Cypriniformes; Cyprinidae
Source: Ensembl
ACACACGGCGGCGGCCGAGUUCCAUCAUUCACCAGAACGAGAGGCAACCUAUGGUUCGUUUACAAACAGCACGUGCAGCUUGAACCCGAUGAAGAGCUUCUUCAUCGCUGGCAAACGAUAAGUUGCAGCUUCGACUCAGUGGAUCACAGUUUGCAGUCAGAUUUGUCCCAGCGCUCGAGAAUCACAGCUUUAUUAGGUCUACUUUUACAGUCUUCCCAGCUAACAAAUCCCCGAGAAGCAGACAUUGAGCUGAAGCAUGAGAGAGCAGUGCGCACUCGACAUGAUAGCUUCAGCUGUGACAGCAUUCUGCUGCUGCGGUCUGGAGCCUCGGGGUCUGGCGGUCGAGGGUUCGAGAUCCACUGUUGGUCAUCAGAGGGAUAAGAAGGCCGGUUCGCGACCUGUCAUAGCCACGGGCGAGUGAGAAUAGCUCAAAGCCUUUGCUUGGGAUUCUGGGAUUGAGAUGUACUGGUGAAGUGAAUUAUUCUCAGAGAUGUUGAGGCCCCUGCAAAUUUCCCAGAAUAAAGCUGUCAUCGAAUCCUUGUCA